CACAGUGAACGCACAGUAAGGCUGACGAUGGUUAAUUUAUGCAGCCCUUUGUCCAUCUCAGCCAAUGCUCUAUCAAAAUCGCUGUUUGUUUUUUUGUCAUUUAUUUUGAAUUCCUGCCGAAAAAACGCAGCCUGCGGUCACCAUGCUGUGUGUGUGUGUGUGUGUGUGUGUGUGUGUAAGUAAUAAUUGCAUAUUAAUUUUGUGUUGUAUUGGAUUUAGGCUCUUCACCAAUCAGCUGAUGACCUUUUUUAAUAUGAAGGGGAAGGGCAAAAAGGAUAAAAUUGGAAUUGAAGACAAGAAAUUGUUUUCAGCAAUAAAAGCUGCUGUCAUGAAAUGGUACCCAGCUGCUACAGAGGCCCAAAUAAAGUCUGCUGCAGCCGA
This is a long non-coding RNA of Micropterus dolomieu (smallmouth bass), 381 nucleotides long. RefSeq lists it as uncharacterized. The record is from RefSeq and is a predicted model, not a curated record. The transcript has 2 exons. Lineage: Eukaryota; Metazoa; Chordata; Actinopteri; Centrarchiformes; Centrarchidae.